GGGCUCGUAGCCUAGUCUGGAUAGGGCGACAAUAAUUGAGCUAAUAACUCGUUAUUCGCUAAAGCCUUCUAAGCUGUAGAUCGCGGGUUCGAAGGUAAGCCCUUCUUUAGAAAAGAAGGUUUUACAAUCCCAAGAAACUACUAUUACGAAAAUCCUGCCGGGCCCA
This 166-nucleotide transfer RNA is filed under the name Candidatus Woesearchaeota archaeon. RNAcentral's name for it is "tRNA-Arg". Lineage: Archaea; Nanobdellati; Candidatus Woesearchaeota. The record is from RNAcentral.